RNAcentral lists this transfer RNA (73 nucleotides) under Paramuricea clavata. It matches the Rfam family "tRNA". From Rfam's summary of the family: Transfer RNA (tRNA) molecules are approximately 80 nucleotides in length. Their secondary structure includes four short double-helical elements and three loops (D, anti-codon, and T loops). Lineage: Eukaryota; Metazoa; Cnidaria; Anthozoa; Malacalcyonacea; Plexauridae. The record is from Rfam by way of RNAcentral.
GACCGCGUAGCUCAGUUGGCAGAGUAUUGGAGAAGUAUCCCAAAGGUCGCGGGUUUGAUUCCCACCGUGGUCA